Molecule: RNA transcript, 1279 nt
Organism: Lagopus leucura (white-tailed ptarmigan)
Lineage: Eukaryota; Metazoa; Chordata; Aves; Galliformes; Phasianidae
Gene name: nuclear receptor subfamily 1 group I member 3-like
Exons: 10
Source: RefSeq, a predicted model, not a curated record
AUGAGCUGCGAAGGGUGCAAAGGGUUCUUCAGGCGCUCCAUCCUUAAGGCUGUGCACUUCACCUGCCCCUUCUCCCGGAGCUGCCCCAUAACCAAGGCCAAGCGCCGGCAGUGCCAGGCGUGCCGCCUCCAGAAGUGCCUCGACGUGGGGAUGAGGAAGGACAUGAUCAUGUCAGAGGAGGCCGUGGGCCGGCGCCGGGCGCUGCGGCUGCAGCGGAGGUUGGCACAGAUGCAGUCCGGGGGGCUGACGGAGGAGCAGCAGGAGCUCAUCAGCAUCCUCAUCGCCGCACACAAACGCACCUUCGACUCCAGCUUCUCCCAGUUCCAGCACUACCGGCCUGCUGUGCGUCUCUGCAUCCCCGACCUGCACUCCCAGAGCCCCCCCGGACCGGGCGUCCCUUCGGCACCCCUGGUCCCACAGAUGAACUGCCUGGAUGAGGAUGUGCUGCCUGACGUCUUCUCCGUCCUGCCCCACUUUGCCGACCUCAGCACCUUCAUGAUCCAGCAGGUCAUCAGGUUUGCCAAGGAGAUCCCAGCAUUCAGAGGGCUGCCCAUCGAUGACCAGAUCUCGCUGCUCAAAGGAGCCACACUGGGCAUCUGCCAGAUCCAAUUCAACACAGUGUUCAACGAGGAAACCAACGCCUGGGAGUGCGGGCAGCACUGCUUCACCAUCGAGGACGGAGCUCUGGCCGGCUUCCAGCAGAUCUACCUGGAGCCGCUGCUCAAAUUCCACGUCAGCCUGAAGAAGCUGCGGCUGCACGAGGCUGAGUACGUCCUGCUGCUGGCCAUGCUGCUCUUCUCGCCAGACCACGCCAGCGUCACCCAGCGGGAUUUCAUUGACCAGCUGCAGGAGAAGGUGGCCCUCACGCUCAAGAGCUACAUCGACCACCAGCACCCCAUGCCCGAGGGCAGGUUCCUCUACGCCAAGCUGCUGCUGCUGCUGACGGAGCUGCAGACCCUGAAGAUGGAGAACACGCGGCAGAUCCUCCACAUCCAGGACCUCUCCAGCAUGACGCCGCUGCUCUCCGAAAUCAUCAGCUGAAGCCCAGCCAGGCGCUCAGCCCCCGUCCCCACGGAAGGGGCUCCGUCGCGCUUUGCUUUGCACACUCAAGUUCAAAGUUCAAAGUCCACGGGGCUACAGAGGGGACGAUCGUGGAGCGGUGACAAGCCCACAACAGCGGCGACUUUGGGGACGCCAGCACAGCGGUGACAGCGGGCACAGCGGCCCAGGCGCUGUGCCCGCAGGGUCCCCUUGUGGACGCAGCCCCUCCAUCACCCCC